RNAcentral lists this long non-coding RNA (591 nucleotides) under Homo sapiens (human). RNAcentral describes it as "long independently transcribed non-coding RNA 1781 (LINC01781)". The record is from RNAcentral. Lineage: Eukaryota; Metazoa; Chordata; Mammalia; Primates; Hominidae.
UGAGUGUUAGUUUUAAAUAGACUAUUGACAAAUUACAGAUUUUUUUCACGUAUUGAAAUUAUAUUCCAGAUGAUUUUGAGAUUUACUGGUAUAAUAUUCUCCUCAUGAGGUAGGAUGGAAGGGAAGAAAUAGAGAAAAAAUGUUCUGCUCUGAAAUAAAUGUGGUGUUUCCUGACAGCGUUUGUCAAGAAGGAAAGGUCGAAAAUAAAGCACUGAUGGAAAUACAUGAUAAAUAAGAGAUGGGGUUCCACCAUGUAGCCCCGGCUGGUCUUGAGCUCAUGAGCUCAAGCGAUUCACCUGCCUCAGCCUCCCAAAGUGCUGGGAUUACAAGUGUGAGCCACCAUUCCUGCCUCUAUACCUCUAAAGGUGUUGAAUAAUUUGAAUGGGAAUUUGAAGGUCCAUGGCUUCCAAACCAGCAGGAGUUAAGGCUUAAUUGCUUGGAAAUACAUUUUCAUGGCUGAUACCAGUAACAGAAAAAUGUCUGUAUGUCAAGAGGCUCUGUACUAAUCAGUUAACCAUAACAUGUGCCACCCCAUACCUUGGGCCAAUGUAACUGUUAACAGCUUGAAGCUAUUAAAAAUGUACCAAUGGA